AUGUUAUUUGCCAAGGUAACUGCAACUGUGCACAUUAUUCCAUCUCAAUUUCCCUUGCCCGUGAAGACAUAUGGUUUCUGCAUGUUUCUCAGUGGCCGAGCUCACCACUCCUAUGAAUGUUUUGUUCCUGACAAAAUACAUCUGGAAUCGAUGGCUGAAUACACUGCUUUUGAGAAGGUGACAAUAUAUCUGUUCCUGCUUCAUAUGGUGUUGCUACCGAUGAUGACAAGCUUCAUUUUAGCAUUCCCUUGGAUCUUGAUGGCCCUCCUAUUCAUCGGCUUCGGUUUGGGGGCUAGCCGGAUUUUAUGGAGGGAAGAUAGUCAGCAACCUGGGCCUUGCUGGCUCCCAACCACUCCAGUCAAGGUAAUCUUGGAAACCAGUAAUGGCAGUGGUGCUCGCUAA
Molecule: ribosomal RNA, 402 nt
Filed under: Triticum aestivum (bread wheat)
Lineage: Eukaryota; Viridiplantae; Streptophyta; Magnoliopsida; Poales; Poaceae
Description: partial small subunit ribosomal RNA
Source: RNAcentral